This is a non-coding RNA of Paramormyrops kingsleyae, 1526 nucleotides long. NCBI's taxonomy places the organism in Eukaryota, Metazoa, Chordata, Actinopteri, Osteoglossiformes, Mormyridae. The record is from RefSeq and is a predicted model, not a curated record.
UUGGUGAUAUUCUAGCAGGUCUAUGCUCAAAUCUGCAUAAAGUCACUGAGGUAAAUUGUUUACGAGUCUGCUUUUCUCUUAUCUCUGCGAUGCAAUUGGCCAGUAGUUGCAACACUGUGCUUGUGAUGGAAUGUGAACACCAAAAAGGAUUAUGGAGGCAAACUCGCAUGGUAGAUAAAACAGUCUACCAUUUAGAAUUAUUAGUUUUAGAUCUGUAGGGCAGGAUUUAUUGAGAAUGGCCACGUUUUUGCAUCAACCUUGACUGGUAUUUCUGCACACUGCCACGUUUAGAUUUGUUGCAAAGAUCUGCAGUGCAGUCAGUAUGAUAGAAAGAAAAGCCAGGAAGAUCCACUGUUGCAUCUAGAAUUGAGUUGCUGAGCAAAGUUUCUCUGAAGCAGAAGAAAGGGAAAAGUCCAUAUUCUUCUGUAUUAAGAACUGCAACUGUUUGAUUUUACUUGUGAGGGAAUAAACAUUGGAGAGGAAUGAUCUAUGUAGCAGAGAUUAUAACCCUUGUUUCCUGAAGCAGUCAAGACCUCCUGUUCCAUCUCACCUCUUUCUUUGGCUAUGAAGACUGCUGAUGACAGUAAAGUCAAUAUACUACCAGAAGAUGAUUCUAUUUUUGCCCACUGACUAUGUUGUAGCUUGUGUUUAAUCUUUAGAAGAGCAUCCUUGUCAUAAUAUGCAAGUAAACAGAAAAAGACACUAUGUAUAAAAUAAAACCGACAAAUCGGGACACAUCCAAGUACCCCAACUGCCGUCUUAUUGAUGCUGGAAGCAGCGGGAAAAAAGUACAAUAGUACAAAGUACUAUUACAAAUGACAAACAUUUUGAAUCCCGUUGAAUCCUUGAAAAAGGUUUGUAUGUAACAUUUUGCUGUAGUGUUUUUAAUUAUAUUGUAUCUUUAUGUUUUCUAGUUUUGAUGAAACUCAGGGAAAUUUUUUAGAUGUGUCAAAAGCAUUGUCCACUGCUACAAAACAAAUCUGAAUGAGUCAAUGAAUUGCAUUAUAAGUCAUAUAAAAAUACAGACAUUGUUUUUUUCAUGCAGGUUUCCUCAAAUUGAACUUUUUAAAUUUGUAGAAAUGUGUAUGUAAGAAUGAAAAUAUCUUUUUAAUUUUUUUUUUGUGUUUUGAUCUUAAUUCUUUUCUCCCAGAAACGAGCAAUAAAGGCUGAAAAUAAUGUUUCAAAGCUUACACAGGAGCUCCUCCAGUUACAGGGUCAACUAGAAGGAUUCCGAUGUGAAAAUGAGAGGCUUCAAGCCAAAGAGACUGUUGCCUUGAAAACUAUAAAGCAAAAAUCCAUGUUAGCAUCAGAGUAUCUCAACAAAGCUGCCAGCAAUGCAGAAAAUUCCAUCAAGCAGUUGCUGAAUGGAGCCGAUACUCUUUAUUUGGUCUCACAGAUGCUGGGCUCAAUUGACAAGAUUACUGAUUUCCAUGCUGACGACCACUAAUGGUAACGAACAGCUAUUGAAUGAGGGCUGUUUUGUUGUUGUAGCUAAAAAUAUAAAAAUAAAUAUUAUUAUAAUAAUA